UACGGGGGGGGCAAGCGUUGUUCGGAAUUACUGGGCGUAAAGGGCUCGUAGGCGGCCAACUAAGUCGGACGUGAGAUCCCUCGGCUUAACCGGGGAACUGCGUCCGAUACUGGAUGGCUUGAGUUCGGGAGAGGGAUGCGGAAUUCCAGGUGUAGCGGUGAAAUGCGUAGAUAUCUGGAGGAACACCGGUGGCGAAGGCGGCAUCCUGGACCGACACUGACGCUGAGGAGCGAAAGCCAGGGGAGCAAACGGG
Molecule: ribosomal RNA, 253 nt
Filed under: uncultured bacterium
Lineage: Bacteria
Description: partial 16S ribosomal RNA
Rfam family: Bacterial small subunit ribosomal RNA
Source: RNAcentral